ACCCAACUCCCUUAUUAUAUUUGGUACUUUUGAGAAUAAUGAGAAUUAUCUUUUCUGAACCAGAAAAUAUUCUCUCUUGAAAGUCAGGCUAGAGAGUCCAAGGGACCUCCUCUAGCCACCUUCCAGCACACUUCCUAUUUUCAUUUUCCAUUUUUCCAAUUUUGCACCAUGCUCUCUCACUCAUCCACCGUGGUCAAUUCCUAUGUUGACACCUUUUCAUUGUAUGAGUCAGCUCUCCAUUUCCUUCCUCAAGCACUCGUCAAAGCUCCUGAAGCUCUCUUGAAGCCUCGUCAUUAACACAUCUCCAUUUCGCACAUCUCACCCU
Molecule: long non-coding RNA, 325 nt
Filed under: Vigna radiata
Lineage: Eukaryota; Viridiplantae; Streptophyta; Magnoliopsida; Fabales; Fabaceae
Description: long non-coding RNA (VRAD_LNC009760)
Source: RNAcentral